Molecule: non-coding RNA, 394 nt
Organism: Manis javanica (Malayan pangolin)
Lineage: Eukaryota; Metazoa; Chordata; Mammalia; Pholidota; Manidae
Source: RefSeq, a predicted model, not a curated record
CCUGGAGAGAGUUCCAGCAGUUCCCUUGCUUUUUGAUAUUCAGACUUAAACCCUCCAACUGGUGGCUUUUUUUCUGUGUCUAAGGACAAGGAGACGCUAGGGGAGAAAAUCAAGGAAACCUGGGGAGUGCUGGGCUAAUGAUGACCUGAUAGUCAGAGAAUGCUAUGACAGCCUCUGCUAGUCCCAAUCUUAAAGGUAUCCAGUCAUCUUUUGUUAGUAUUUCUGUGAUGUGGAACUGUGGAAUGAUUUCCUCCCAAGCAUCUGCUGCCAGAAUACAAAAGAAAGUAUAUUGGCUAGAAUACAGUUUAAAAUGCUGUUAAAAAGAUACUUAAAGCUGGAGUGGAACAAACAAAUUAGAUGUCUAUUUCCCACCCAUGUGCCAGUCCAGAGAUGA